AGAGUAGUGAUGGUAUGAGAAAUAUAAAACAGAUUUUAAUUGGCAACAAAUGUAUGGAAGAAUCAACUGUGUUCAGCAAAAUUGUGUGGUCAAUCUCUGAGCAACCAGCGCUGGAUGUUGAGUUUGGAGGGUCAAGUUGUGUGUGAAGGAGCACAGCCCAACUUCAUCACUGGCCUGGCAGCACUGUUUGCCUCCUUCUAUAAUUUCAAUUUACAGUACCAGGAAGAGGCAGCAUGCACCCUUGAGUUUGUUCAGAGACGCUUUGUUGACAUCAAUCCUGAAUGUGGAUCGAAAGCAAAAAAAGGAAAAGUGACUUCAAAGAAAACUG
Long non-coding RNA from Carassius auratus (goldfish), 328 nucleotides. RefSeq lists it as uncharacterized. Lineage: Eukaryota; Metazoa; Chordata; Actinopteri; Cypriniformes; Cyprinidae. The transcript has 3 exons. The record is from RefSeq and is a predicted model, not a curated record.